UAGCUCAACUAUUAGGCUAUCGGGGGAUACUGCCAGACUUGGAACCGGGAGAGGUAAGAGGUACUACAGGGGUAGGAGUGAAAUCUUGUAAUCCCUGUGGGACCACCUGUGGCGAAGGCGUCUUACCAGAACGGGUUCGACGGUGAGGGACGAAAGCUGGGGGCACGAACCGGAUUAGAUACCCGGGUAGUCCCAGCCGUAAACGAUGCUCGCUAGGUGUCAGGCAUGGCGCGACCGUGUCUGGUGCCGCAGGGAAGCCGUGAAGCGAGCCACCUGGGAAGUACGGCCGCAAGGCUGAAACUUAAAGGAAUUGGCGGGGGAGCACAACAACGGGUGGAGCCUGCGGUUUAAUUGGACUCAACGCCGGACAACUCACCGGGGGCGACCGCAAUAUGUAGGCCAAGCUGAAGACUUUGCCUGAAUCGCUGAGAGGAGGUGCAUGGCCGUCGCCAGUUCGUACUGUGAAGCAUCCUGUUAAGUCAGGCAACGAGCGAGACCCGUGCCCACUGUUACCAGCAUGUCCUCCGGGACGAUGGGUACUCUGUGGGGACCGCCGAUGUUAAAUCGGAGGAAGGUGCGGGCCACGGUAGGUCGGUAUGCCCCGAAUCUCCCGGGCUACACGCGGGCUACAAUGGAUGGGACAAUGGGUCCCUACCCCGAAAGGGGUUGGUAAUCUCACAAACCCAUUCGUAGUUCGGAUCGAGGGCUGUAACUCGCCCUCGUGAAGCUGGAAUCCGUAGUAAUCGCGUUUCAAUAUAGCGCGGUGAAUACGUC
RNAcentral lists this ribosomal RNA (774 nucleotides) under uncultured archaeon. RNAcentral describes it as "bacterial SSU rRNA". It matches the Rfam family "Archaeal small subunit ribosomal RNA", at positions 555 to 1328 of the family's 1478-position model. The record is from RNAcentral.